Molecule: ribosomal RNA, 318 nt
Filed under: Triticum aestivum (bread wheat)
Lineage: Eukaryota; Viridiplantae; Streptophyta; Magnoliopsida; Poales; Poaceae
Description: partial small subunit ribosomal RNA
Source: RNAcentral
GUGAUUCCAUGCAAACUAGGAGAGAACUUGACUCGUUUCUGGAGAAGUGAGAUGAAAUUGCAGAUGACACCAACGGGUGAAUGGUACGAGUUUGAAGUAGGAAAGCGUGGACGAAAAUACUACCUGACUGGAGAAUGGGAGAUGUUUGCAAGCAUAUACAGAAUCAAACACGGCGACAAGCUUCAUUUUAGUGUUGGUUCACUUGUGCAUGAACACCUGGUUGUUGGCCAUGUACGCCGGCUGUCAGGCGAUGUUGCGAUGCCUAGAUGCACAAUAGCGGAAUACAAGGCUGAACAAUGAUUUCAGGGGAUGGAGUGA